CCUUCCAUGGCCCUGAGUGGGACCUAGCAAUUUGCCCACAAAGUCUUUCUUUAUAGUUAUGUUGAAAAUGUUACAAUUUUUAUGUUUGUUUGUUUGUAUAGAAAAACUCAUAGUCAACUUUUAGGACAGAAGAUUUAAGUUCGUUUUCCAUUUCAAAUAAUUUUAAUUACAAUGUGUCCAUUUUUAACCUACUGAAAGGAAAAGGAGUAAGUUUGCUUAAUGCCAUUAUUUCCAUACCAGGAAUUGAUGCUUCUAUUCAUUUGAAUAUAUUCCAAUUGCAUUGAAUUUUUUUUACAGUAUCUCCAAGCAGUAAAAAAAAAAAAAAAAUAUAUAUAUAUAUAUAUGAUUUACUAAUCAAAUUGUAAUACACCAUUCAGAGGAAAUACCAUGAUUAUCACACGUGUAUGUCCAUUCUCUAGAAAAUAAGGCUUUAAAAGGUAGGCUGUAGAAAGAAAGGCAAAAGCACCUCUGACUGACUUCAAGAAAGGGGAGAAAAAGA
RNAcentral lists this long non-coding RNA (499 nucleotides) under Homo sapiens (human). RNAcentral's name for it is "non-protein coding lnc-MMS22L-3:1". The record is from RNAcentral. Lineage: Eukaryota; Metazoa; Chordata; Mammalia; Primates; Hominidae.